Molecule: ribosomal RNA, 482 nt
Filed under: uncultured bacterium
Lineage: Bacteria
Description: partial 16S ribosomal RNA
Rfam family: Bacterial small subunit ribosomal RNA
Source: RNAcentral
AAUGUACGUUGGCGGCGUGGAUUAGGCAUGCAAGUCGAGCGAGGACCGUAGCAAUACGGGGACAGCGGCGAAAGGGAGAGUAAUACGUGGAUACCUACCCUCGGGUUCGGGAUAGCUGCGGGAAACUGCAGGUAAUACCGAAUAACAUCUCCGGAUCAAAGGUGUGAUUCCGCCCGGGGAGGGGUCCGCGUCCUAUUAGCUUGUUGGUGAGGUAACGGCUCACCAAGGCGAAGAUGGGUACGGGGUGUGAGAGCAUGCCCCCGCUCACUGGGACUGAGACACUGCCCAGACACCUACGGGUGGCUGCAGUCGAGAAUCGUCGGCAAUGGGCGCAAGCCUGACCGAGCGACGCCGCGUGCGAGAUGAAGGCCUUCGGGUUGUAAAUCGCUGUCAGUGGGGAGGAAAUGCCAUAGGGUUCUCUCUAUGGUUUGACCUAUCCGCAGAGGAAGGAUGGGCUAAGUUCGUGCCAGCCGCCGCCGUAA